Molecule: ribosomal RNA, 344 nt
Filed under: uncultured eukaryote
Lineage: Eukaryota
Description: LSU rRNA
Rfam family: Bacterial large subunit ribosomal RNA
Source: RNAcentral
UCUUGCGCAGCUUAGGUGGAAGGCUGAGAAAGGCAAUUCCGGUUGUCUGGAGCCAUCAGUGAGAUACCACUCUGGGAGAGCUAGGAGUCUAAUGGCGUUCCUUGAAUCAGGACGCUUGACAGUUUCAGGUGGGCAGUUUUACUGGGGCGGUAGCCUCCUAAAAGGUAACGGAGGCGUGCAAAGGUUCCCUCAGGCUGGACGGAAAUCAGCCAUAGAGUGUAAAGGCAGAAGGGAGCUUGACUGCAAGACCUACAAGUCGAGCAGGGACGAAAGUCGGCCUUAGUGAUCCGACGGUGCCGUGUGGAAGGGCCGUCGCUCAACGGAUAAAAGUUACUCUAGGGAUA